RNAcentral lists this ribosomal RNA (406 nucleotides) under uncultured bacterium. RNAcentral describes it as "partial 16S ribosomal RNA". It matches the Rfam family "Bacterial small subunit ribosomal RNA", at positions 30 to 526 of the family's 1533-position model. The record is from RNAcentral.
AUUGAACGCUGGCGGCAGGCCUAACACAUGCAAGUCGAACGAGUGGCGGACGUGUGAGUAAUGUCUGGGAAACUGCCUGAUGGAUGGGGAUAACUACUGGAAACGGUAGCUAAUACCGCAUACCAUCGGAUGUUCCCCGAUGGGAUUAGCUUGUAUGUGGGGUAAAGGCUCACCUAGGCGCCGAUCCCUAGCUGGUCUGAGAGGAUGACCAGCCACACUUGAACUGAGACACGGUCCAGACUCCGACGGGAGGCAGCAGUGGGGAAUAUUGCACAAUGGGCGCAAGCCUGAUGAAGCCAUGCCGCGUGUAUGAAGAAGGCCUUCGGGUUGUAAAGUACUUUCAGCGGGGAGGCGUUAAACGGAGAAGAAGCACCGGCUAACUCCGUGCCAGCAGCCGCGGUAAUAG